This 23829-nucleotide long non-coding RNA is filed under the name Prunus persica (peach). The record is from RNAcentral. Lineage: Eukaryota; Viridiplantae; Streptophyta; Magnoliopsida; Rosales; Rosaceae.
CUGUACUCCAUGUUGUGGACGAACUGUAAUAAGAUGUAAGGGCGAGUGGACAUAACCCGGGGAAAGGGUGAAGGCGUAACGUUGUAGAAUCAUCGACAAAGCAAUCUUCACUUCUGUAGUCGCAAAGUUUAAGCCCACACAAAUUCGAGGUCCCAUUGAAAAGGGUAUGAAUGCGCCUACAUGAUUGUUGGUUGCUUUGGCAACCCCUUCCGAGAAUCUCUCUGGUUUGAAAAGUUGCACAUCUUGUCCCCAGAUUUGAGGAUCAUGGUGAAGUGCUACGAUUGAGACAUCGAAUUCAAGAUUACUAGGAACAAUCAGUUUUCCUAGUCUAACUUCCCUUUCGACUCUCCUUUGAACUUGAACGGCAGGGGGAUAUAACCUUAGAGUCUCAUUGAUGAUCAUACUCAUCUGCAUCAAAAAGAAAAAUGGAUAACCAAAUCAGGAUCUCGAACUUUAUUGAGAACAUAUUUCUGCCACCUAGACAAGUUUCUUACUGUUGUCAGUUUGCCAAUGCCAUCAAGAUUUGGAGUUUGCUUGCCAAAUAAUUGUAGCACCUCCUUUCUUGCUUCCUCUUGCCAAUCCGUAUGGAGUGCCAGAAGAAAAACAGUCCAACAAAGCAAAGUAUUAGCGGUUUCUUGUCCGGCAAAGUAAAACGUCUUGCACUCAUCAAUUAUCUCCUGCACCGAAAUCCUCUGGUUCUCAUUGGCUUCAUGAUUAGCCUUCAGAAGUAAUCCAAGAAAAUCACUCCCAAAGCUGCCGUUUUCUCCAGUCAUUGUCUUCUUUUCUCUUUUCUUAACCAUCUCUAUUAUGGAGGCAUGGAUUCCUUUCUCAAGUUUUUCCGAUUCGAUCUCAUCGCUGGUUUUGAAGAGCUUACUGCAACAUUGAAUGAAAGACUAAAAAUGAGAGAACAGAAGUAACUCUCUAAAAAUUUCUUAUUUCUUCUCUUCAAUUGGAAUAUUAGAAGUACUAAGUUACCUGAUGCCAGGAACCCUGACUUUGAGAAUAUUUUUGAAUAUUAGGAAGCUUAACUUCCUCAACAUUUCAAAUAUGUCCUGUCCUUCUGAAUAGCUGCUGCCAAAUGCUGUUCUCGAAAUCACUUCCGAAGUGAACAAUCUAAACUCUUCAAACACCUCAAUCUCUUUUCCUUCAUAAACUUUCCACCUUUCUACCAUCUUCUCAGCACUAGCUACCAUUUCUGGAAUCAUGCUCUAGUAAAAAAAUAUCAUAAUGCUUUUAGUAUUAGCAUAUUUACCAUUCAACUUAUUCUUUUAUUAUUCAGAAAGUGACACAGCUAUGUCUAUAAUACUCUUUGCAACAAAGUACCAGCAACUUAAAAACUUACUUUUAAACUCUCUCCAUGGAAAGCAUGGGUGGCCAGCUUUCGCAAUUUUGCCCAUUUUUCAGCUUUGUUUGUUGCCGCAAGGCCAUCUCCAAAUAGCUUCUUCGAAAUGUUUGGGGCCUCUUUUUUCAGAUAAGCUCUGCCUUUGUUAUUUAGUAUCUCUUUGCACAACUCAGGUUCUGUUACGACCAACUGAGCUCGAGAACCAUGCCAUUGAAGAUAAUUCUUCCCUGUAAUUGCAUGCAAAAAUGACCAAAACUUAUCUUGUUUAGAACUUAGAUUUAAAUAACAAUAGUUAACUAAUUGAGAUGGCUUGUUAUUUUGCUACCAUAUAUGUUGGUCCACGAGUGAACGUGAGGUUGAACUACAGAAAAUAUGUCGUGUGAUAAAAUGUGAGGCCUGCCCAUGACUUCCUUUUGCAUGUUGGAGAUUUCUUUGGUAUUUCCAUAGAUGAAUCUGUAAGAAGGGCCUCUGAUCCCCUGCAAAGCCAUCAGCUUCUGCAUGCGAAUCGGAGUCCACCAUAGUUUGUGAAGGAUCUUGAUGAAACCUAAGACAAGGAGCAGACACAGAAAGCUUGAAAGAACGAUUAUUAGGCCUCCCAAAGUAGUCAUUUUGGGGGUAUUGUUUUUCUCUGCGGCUAUCUCUAUCUCGUUCUCUGAGCUUUUAAAGCUUUUCUUGCUUCUGAUUGUUUACAAAAAAGUCAAGAAAAAACCAGUCUGGUCAUGUUAAGCUUCUGAUUGUUACUUAGUUUGUCCUGGUAUUUACUACAAUCCAAAGGGCAAAUAUCAUCGUAAGUGGCUCUCAUUGAAACCUUAAGCUGCUAUUUGUAGACUUUUGGUACAUCGUGGUAAGUCUAGUGACUUCAUGUUGGAAUAAUCUCUUGGCUUCGUCACCAAUGACAUCACCAUAUGACUAAUCUUGCAAAACUUUCUCUUUAUCACCACACCGCGUUUUUCUUUCAUGACUUUUCUCAACUUAACAGAGCUCUAGUCUCUCUGUGCAUUGUAUGUUAAAAGACAACUAUUAUUAUGAGAGGUUGUUCACUAACUUUCAAAGCAAAAUUUUCUCAACCCUAUGAAAAUUUUGUCAACCCUAUGAAAAUUUUGCUUUGAAAAGUGGUGAACAACCUCUCAUAAUAAUAGUUGUCUUUUAACAUAUUAUUAAAAUGUGCAUUAAUGACUUUUCUGAAUUUUGUAAGACAAGAAAAUGCGGCUCGUUUAGGCAUCCCAUGAGACAUAACAUAAGUAUAACACAAAUAAGAUUACCCCCAAUAAAAAAUGUAACAAGUAAUUUUAUUCACAAGUCUGCAUAUACUUAAGUUGCCCUAUAUGCAAUGUUGUCCCAAAUAAAAAACGUAUAAUGAGGGGGUAUAUAUGUUGAGAACUUGAGAAUGUUUGUCUCACAUUGAAAAAUUGAUGGACUCUAUAAGGAGUUGGAAUACUCUUCUAUUGCCAAUUGGUUUUAGAGUGGAAACUCAACUUUCUUCAUGAUAUCAUAGCAAAAGCUUCACGUGUUGAGCUGAACGGCCACACAAGCAGAUAGAAUGAAAUUUAGAUUAACUUUUUCAUAUUAAUCUCAUUAAAUUUCCACAUAGAGAGAGAGAGAGAGAGAGAGAGAGAGAGAGAGAGAGAGAGAGAGAGAGAGAGAGAGCCUCCUUCCUUGCUCUGCCAAAUUUCCAUUGAUGAAAAGGAAAUAUUUUGCUCAUUGCCCAAGCAACAGAAAAUGGAGAAAUUGUAAUACUUGGAAUUAUAUGACAGAGCAAAGCUGGUUUUUUGGACCAAGAAAAAGGUCAUGGGUAGAGGCCCAUAAUAGUUGUUACCCACUAUUAAUUUGACAGGACCCGCCUCGAAAUUUCUUCAGAAAUCGAAGUGGACCCCGUCUUUGUUCCGACAUCAUCCCGAUGCCGGGGCCCACUUACUAAAAACCGAGACUCUCUACCAAAAUUUUGGCAGAGUCUCCCCUGUAAAUUAAACAAACCCAACAAAAAUUUCAACCUGCAACAUACAUAAAAUAAUCCCAACCAGCAGCAUGCUUUCAUAAUACAACAAAACACACUACAUGGCCUCCGGCCUCACAGGUAAAAUCUACCAUGGGUGAUAACAGAGCAUCUACUGAAUUUAGUUUACAAGAACAGUUGAGUAGAAGAAAUUACUCAAAUCCUAACUAGGAAAGUUCACAGUUCGAGCCUCGUACACCACUUGCACGCUUCUUGGAGCGACUACUGGCUGGGGGGCGCAAAACAGAAAACAUGUGAAUGGACAAAAAUAAGAUUUGGAGUUAAAACAACAUAGUAACCCCACCGUAGAAAAGUAAUGCUCAAGACAUGCAGAUUCACAAUUCAUAAUUUAAUUACUCAAAAUAUAUUUCAUUAAAACUCUUUAAAAGCACAAAUCACUUCAUCCAUAAACCACAUUCUUACAAUCUUGCUACUCCUGCCAAACCACUGAUAAACUCUAAUUUCUUCACUCUCCCAACUAUAGAUAUACAUAUAUAUAUACACAAUAUACUCAUUACACUACCUAGGUACCGGGGAAACAAUCCAACCGGGGGAUUGUUUAACUAGCCCGAAGGAUUUUCAGGUGCUAUCCUGCAUCUAGGGAUGAGUGGUCCAACUGGGGGACGAAACUUCAUAGCUCACACACCGGAACAUCCAAAGCCAUGUGUAGCUCCAAUACUAAUUCCUACGCGCACAGACUGGAUCAUCACACACCGGCACAUCCAACGCCAUGGGUGAUGAUCCCAAAAAAUAUACAGAGUCUUUCCAUAAGCCGGAACAUCCAACGCUGCAUAUGGAAAGUGUCUCACACGCCGGAACAUCAACGCUGCGCAUGUGACUGAUAAUCUAUUCUUCCCAUAAGCCGGAACAUGCAACGCUACGUGUGGGAAGUCUAAUAACUGGGGAAGGUACUUACAUAGUGUAAUCAUACAACAUCUUUCAACAACCCCUCAUAUUUAAGUUCUUCCACAACUCACCUUCACAACCCAAGUAUCUCGCCUAUAGAGAAUAUAAAUAUAACUUCCCCAAAAUCCAUAUAAAAUAUACUGUCGAUACCCAAAUAUGCCAAACCCACAAUAUAUUGCCAAAGCGCUAUACAAACAUCAAAUUCAACCCAUAAAUAUAAUAUAUUCAAUAAACCAUUAAAAACAUUAUGCAUAAAUCUUUCAUCAAUAAAACCAUACAUACGAUGGAAAACAAAGUCCACUCACAAAUAUUCCCACGAGAGGGUCUUGCCUGUUGAGUACGUGCAGUCGGAGUACCUAUUUCGAGAUACGAACCCUUAAUUAAUAAAAAAUUACUUCGAAGUGGAAAUCAUAAAUUACAUACUUAAAUCCCCAAAUUCCCAGUACGUGUACGUUGAAGGAGGUAUCCUAAGGUCCGAUUACAGGUUUAGGAAUCACUCACUAUUGUAUGGUUAUCGCUAACCCACAAACUUUGCAUUAUUGAAUCGGAACAUCCGGGGCUCCGAUUCAUGAUCCGUGAAGUCCUACACGGUCCUAGGAAUACCUAGAACAACAUAUUUUAAUUGGGAAAAGAUCUAAUGGUCAGAACCUAUCGAAUCUGGAUCCGCGAAAUUCUACUCACUUGUGACAACCUAAGGAUCUCAUCGGGUCAAAUUGCAACUUCAUCAGCCUCUUCCACAUGCCGCCACAUGUGCCUGCAGCUCGUGGGUGUGUUGUAAGAUCUCACAUCAACCAACGGAGAGGGGGUAAUGUGCCUUAUAUGUGCACACCCGCAUCCAUCUAGCACGAGGCCUUUUGGGAGCUCACUGGCUUCGGAGUCGUAGGAACUCCAAAGUUAAGCGAGUUGGGGGCCAGAGCAAUCCUAGGAUGGGUGACCCACUGGGAAGUUGCUCGUGAGCUCCCAGAAACAAAACCGUGAGGGCCAGAGAGGGGGGCCCAAAGCGGACAAUAUCGUGCUACGGCGGAACCAAUUCCGGGAUGUGACAAUUUGGUAUCAGAGCCACUCUGCCGUGUGGUGCGAGUGUGCCGACGAGGACGUCGGGCCCUUAAGGGGGGUGGAUUGUAAGAUCCCACAUCAACCAAUGGAGAGGGGGUAAUGUGCCUUAUAUGUGCACACUCGCAUCCAUCUAGCACGAGGCCUUUUGGGAGCUCACUGGCUUCGGAGUCGUAGGAACUCCAAAGUUAAGCGAGUUGGGGGCCAGAGCAAUCCCAAGAUGGGUGACCCACUGGGAAGUUGCUCAUGAGCUCCCAGAAAUAAAACCGUGAGGGCCAGAGAGGGGGGGCUCAAAGUGGACAAUAUCGUGCUACGGCGGAGCCGAUUUCGGGAUGUGACAUGUGUAGAGUAAAUUCUGGUGACGGAAAAACUCUCCACCCGAGCUCACCCUUCCUAUCCUAGCUUUUACUCAAGGUCAGGAUCACUUCAUUCAACUACGGGGAGGUCCAAUUCGGACGGCAACUGGCCGGUAUUUCACUCUGAAAUCUAGCCAAAACCUAGGUUUACAAAAUCAGUUUCUACACAUCAAAUCGAUCUAAACCUAUCCAAAAAACAACUAGAGCUCAUAAAAUGGAUGAGAAACCUCACCUUAUUCACCGGGUUUGGGCGGCGGAGACGAUGGCGCGACAAUGGGAAAUCUCCAGUUCAAAUCAGUCAAGAUCUUGUCGGGAUUCGUGGUUUCCGAUGGGAAAGCUGUCGGGUCUUGACCGGGACGUCGAGGCGAGUCGAUCAGGACCUGUGGCGCGCCCAGCCGUGGCCGGUGCUAGGAAAAUCGUAGAGAGAGAGUCGGUGUCGGGGAGAGAGAGAGACUGAGGAGAGGGAGACAGAACUGAUCACGCGAGGAGAGAGAGAGAGUUGAGGUGAAAAAUUUGAUUUUUACCAAACUUCUUGAAUUAAUUACAGUUUUGCCACUGAAUUACUUUUGAUCGCCUAAUCUUCGUUCCAACUCUGAUUCAAGUCUACCGCACGUCUACAAAUUCGUCUCAGUACUACCUAUCCAAAAAUACCAGUCGUGGUCCCAAAAUCCUUCCGGAAAAGAAAAUGACCAAUUUACCCCUACCCAAAGGGUAAAUUCGUAAUUUCACUUUAAAUAAAUUUAAAAAGAAAUUAAAUUUGGAGUCGGGGUGUUACAUAAUUAAUUAAAUGAGGAUAAUAUGGUAAAUUCAUACUUUUUCUUAUUAAAAAAAUUUUAAAUUAAAAGAAAAUUCUAAUAAUGGAUCAUAUUUUUAUAGAACACAACUACCCAUUAGAAUAUCUUUUUUAAUUCUAAAAUAAAUGUAAAUUUAAAAAAAAAAAAAAAAAGAACCUCGUGCAGGCGCGGAAGCGCGUGCGGAGAGGCUAGUAAAGAUAAUUAUAGAGGUCUAGUUAGUAUUCACCGUUGAAUUAAAUCUAAUGGGAGGUGACUACGCUCUUCCAUAGUCCUUGGUGACCAGGUGAACGGGGUAAUGGGAUUGGCUGUCAUAAUAAGGGUUUAAAUUCCCCCACUACCGUUUGAGUCCAAAAUUUAUAAAAAUUGGAAAUCUCAAGAUAUUCUUGGAGAUAUUAUGUGAUAAUUUUGAUAUGGCCAAAAUAUGACUAAUAUUAGCUUAUUUGAAAGGAAUUCUUGAAGAUUAUUUACUUGAGAUAUAAGAUAACAUAUUUUUGGGAAGAAAAUUGAUCUUCAUACAAUAUCGCAAUUCAUGUAGUAUUGCGGGCCUUGAAUAAAUGCACAAGAGAGGAAUUAAAGAGACAAUUGAUUCAAAUACAAGGGGAUUGCUGCAAGAUGAAGUACAUACCAUUUUAGUACAUACCAUGUGAUCUCAAUUAUAACCAAAUAUAUAACUUUUUCUUUAACCAAAUAUACAAACCCUAAACCUUGGUAUUUUGAAUGUUUCACAAUUCUCUGCCUUUUGCUUUAUAUAGAUAGAUUCAAAGAAAAAUUAGUAUAUAGUGAGAAAAAACUUUAGUAAUUAGCAUAUGAUACAUUACCUAUUUUUGUUUUGGAUAUGGUGGAUGAGUUUAAAUUUUAUUUUGUUAAAAGCCAAUGGCCCUACCCAUGUGCUGACAAGACCCGCCCCGGAAUUUCCCGAAGACCGAAGCGGACCCCGUCCUGAUCCCGACAUCAUCCCGAUGCCGGGCCCACCUACUAAAUAAUCGAGACUUUCUACCAAAAUUUUGGCAGAGUCUCCCCUGUAGUUUAAGCAAUCCCAACAACAUUUACUCAACCUGCAAUAUACACACAAAAUAAUAAUCCCAACUAGCAGCAUGCUUUCAUACAACUACAAGUCAUACUAGAGUGGCCUCCGGCCUCACAAGUAAAAUCUAUCAUGGCAAUACAGAGCAUCUACUGAAUUUAGAUUACAAGAACAGUUGAGUAGAAGAAUUUACACAGUUCCUAAUUAGAAAGAUGCACCGAUUCCGCUUCGUACACCACUUGCACUUCCAAGAGCAACUACUGGCUGGGGGGCGCAAAACAGAAAACAUGUGAGUGGACAAAAACUAGAUUUGCAGUUAAAAACAACAUAGUAACCCCACCAUGUAAAAAUAAUGUUCAAGUCAUGCAGGUUCACAAUUCAAUAAGAAAUUACUCAAAACAUGCUUCAGUAAAACUCAUCUAAAAACAUCAGUUAUCUCUUUCAAAAAGAACCUCAUUCUCUCAAACUUACCACUCCUGUCAAACUAUUAAACAAACUCUAAUUCCUUACACACUCAACCAUACAUAUUCAAAUAAAUAUACAUAUAAAUAUAUAUAUAAAUAACUAUAAAUAGCUAUACGAUAUACUCAUCACACCACCUAGGUACCGGGGAAAACAAUCCAACUGGGGGAUCGUUUGACUAGUCCGCAGGAUUUUCAGGUGCUAUCCUGUGUCUAGGGAUGAGCGGUCCAACCGGAGGACGAAACUCCAAAGCUCACACACCGGAACAUCCAAUGCCAUGUGUAGCUCUCAAACUAUGUCCUACGCGCGCAGACUGGAUCAUCACAUACCGGAACAUCCAACGCCAUGGUGAUGACCCUAAACUCUAUACACAGUCUUUCCGUAUGCCGGAACAUCCAACGCCGCAUACGGAAAGUGUCUCACCCGUCGGAACAUCCAACGCCGCGAGUGAGACCAGUAACUGAGGAAGGUACUUACGUAGUGUAAUCACACAACUUCUCUCUAAUCACAUUCUUCCAUAUCACCCUCCAACAACCCAAAUAUCUCAUCUAAAAAGAAUAUAUAUCAAAAUAUACUUCCCCACAACCCAUAUAUAAAAUACACUCUCAAAACCCAAAAUGCCAAUCUCACAAUAUAUUGCCAAUUGCUAUACGACCAUCAAAAUUAACUCAUGCAUAUAAUAUAUAAAAUCCAUGAGCCAUUAAAACAUUAUGCAAAAUCUUUCAUCAAUUAAAACCAGGCAUAUGAUUAAAACAAAGUCCACUCACAAGUAUUCCCUCGCUGCCUGACCACGUGAAGGUCCUGCUUGCUGCGUGCGUGCAGUCGAAAUACCUAUUUCGAGAUACGAACCGUUAAUUAAUAUAAAAACCACGUCUAAGCGGAAAUUACAAAUUAAAUGCUUAACUCCCCAAAUUCCCCAUACGUGCUCGUUGAAGAAGGUAUCCUAAAGUCCGAUUACAGGUUUAGGAAGCGUUCACAAUUUUCACGGUUAUCGCUAACCUGCAAACUUUGCAUUUUUAAAUCGGAACAUCCGGGGCUUCGAUUCAGAAUUCGUGAAGUCUCAUACGGUCCUAGGAAUACCUAGAACGAUAUAUUUUAAUUCGGGAAAGAUCUAACGGUCGGAACCUAUCGAACCCGGAUAACGCACAAUAUGCGAAAAUCCGUUCGAUAGCCAAACGACAUCCGAAUCGAGAUCCACGAAUUCCUAUGCGCUCGUGACAACCUAAGGAUCUCAUCGGGCUAAUUUACAUUCUCACCAGACUCGCCCACGCGCCGCCACACGCGCCGGUAGCGCGUGGGUGUGCAGAGUAAUUCCGGUGACGGAAAAACUCCACACCCGAGCUCACCCUUCCUACCCUAGCUUCUACUCGAGGUUAGGAUCACUUCACUCAACUACGAGAAGCUCCAAUUCGGCCGGCAACUGGCCGGAAUUUCAUUUUGAAAUUCGGCCAAAAACCUAAAUUUCCAUCAGUUUUCUAGACUCAAAAUCGAUCAAAACCUAUACAAUCAUCAGCUAGAACUCGAAAAAUGGAUGAGAAACCAUACCUCACCCGUCUGAAAUAGCGAUCGGAGGAGAGAGAACGGGCGACUGGGAGUUCAGACGAGAAUCGGCCUGAAAUCCGUGUUUUCCAGCGACGAGGCGGCGGCUGGCGGCUGGAGAUGGGUCAGGGAACGUCGGCGAGGUCUGGCCGGUUGUUUUGGGUCCGGUCUCGGGGCUGGCCGUGGCCUGUGGUAGCGGCCCUGCGUCUGCAAAUCGGAGGAGGAGGAAGAGGGACUCGGGAGAGAGAAAGAAUCGGGAGAGAGAGAGAGAGAGAGAGAGAGAGAUAAAACUGAAAAAUCUGAUUUUUACUCUAUCUCUUUUUGAAAUAUUUACAAGUUUGCCACUGACACUAUUUUGCCCGUAACUUUUUCGUUACAACCCCGAUUCAAGCCUACCGCGUGUCUACAAAUUCGUCUCAAUACCGUCUACCUAGAAAUACAACUCGUGGUCCCAAAAUCCUUCCGAAGAAGAAAGUGACCGAUUUACCCCUAUCUCAAGGGUAAAUUCGUAAUUUUAUUUAAAUCGAUUAAAAUAAACAUUUAAUUUGGAGUCGGGGUGUUACAAUCUACCCUCCUUAAAAAAAAUUUCGUCCCCGAAAUUCACGUACCUGUCACUGGAAAAGAUAAGGGUACUUGACCCUCAUUUGUGCCUCAUGGAACACAUCAUGCACUCGAGACAGUUCUGCAGGUAAUGCAAGUCUAUAAGCAACCGGUCCGAUGCGUUCUGUAAUCUCAUAGGGUCCAAUAUAACGAGGGCUUAACUUCCCACGUUUUCCGAAUCUCAUCACACCCUUCCAAGGAGAUUACUUCAGGAACACCCAAUCCCCAACUGCAAAUUCGAGAUCUUUGGACCUAUUAUCUGCAUAACUCUUCUGUCGGUCUUGUGCGAUCUUCAGAUUUUCUUUAAUCAUCUUCACUUUUUCGGUUGUUGCUCGGAUACUUUUCACUUUUUCUAAUUUCUUAUCUCCCACUUCAUUCCAACAAAUAGGAGUCCUACACUGUCUCCCGUACAACGCCUCAUAAGGAGCCAUCUUUAUACUCGCAUGAUAACUGUUAUUGUAUGCAAAUUCCACCAAGGCAAGGUGAGUAUCCCAUGAAUCUUUCAUUUGCAGUACGCACGACCUCAACAUAUCCUCCAAAGUCUGAAUAGUUCUUUCUGAUUGUCCAUCAGUCUGUGGGUGAAAAGCUGUGCUGAACCGCAACCUAGUACGCAUAGCUUCCUGCAAACACUUCCAGAAUCGAGAAGUGAAUCGGGUAUCUCUGUCCGAUACAAUGGACACAGGUGCUCCAUGUAACCUCACAAUCUCGUCCACAAAAAGUUUUGCCAACUUUGUCAGAGAAUAAGUUUCCUUAAUAGGUAGAAAAUGGGCGGACUUGGUGAGUCUAUCCACUAUCACCCAAAUUCCAUCAUGUCCCUUGGGAGUGCGUGGAAGCUUGAAAAUAAAAUCCAUGGUAAUGUGUUCCCACUUCCAUUCAGGAAUUGGAAGCGGUUGCAUAAGUCCGGAAGGUUUAUGUCGCUCCGCUUUCACUUGUUGACAAAUCAAGCAUCUACUCACAUACUUGGCAAUGUCUCCCUUCAUAUGCGGCCAUGAGUAAUACUCCCGUAGGGUUCGAUAUAUUUUGGUACUUCCUGGAUGCAUAGUGUAAGUGGAACAGUGAGCUUCCUCCAGGAUUUCUCUUUUCAGGUAAUCAUUCUUAGGUACACAUAGGCGAGUUCCUGUUACUAACGCCCCAUCUCCCCUUAUUGCAUAAUCUUUCCGCGAACCACUUUCUACUUCUCCCCUUAUUCGACAAAGUGUUGAGUCUCCCAACUGGGCUUCAAUUAUCUGCUCCACCAAAAUGGGUCUCACAUGCAAACUAGCAAGUAUUCCACCCUGUUGUGUCAUUUCCAGUCCCACACCAUCUUUCCGCAGUUCCACUAACAACGGAAGAUAUGCCGUUCUGAGAUGAGCCAAACUUCCCGUAGUCUUCCUACUCAGUGCAUCUGCUACCACAUUAGCUCGGCCUGGAUGAUACUCAAUCGUGCAGUCGUAAUCCUUUAUCAAUUCCAACCAACGCCGUUGUCUCAUAUUAAGCUCCUUUUGAGUGAAAAAGUACUUGAGGCUUUUAUGAUCAGUGAAAAUCUGACACGUCUCACCAUACAAAUAAUGCCUCCAAAUCUUGAGAGCGAACACUACAGCGGCAAGUUCCAGAUCAUGAACCGGAUAAUUCUGCUCAUGCUUCUUGAGUUGCCUCAAGGCAUAAGCAAUCACCCGAUCAUGUUGCAUCAGAACACAUCCCAAGCCUCGCAAAGAUGCAUCACUGUAGAUCACAAAAUUUCCUGCAUUAUCCGGAAGAGCCAAAACAGGUGCGGUGGUUAAUCGCUUCUUUAAUUCCUGAAAACUUUGUUCACAUUCUUCCGUCCACUCAAAUGCAACAUCUUUCCUUGUCAACCGUGUGAGAGGUGCUGCUAUCGAAAAAAACCCUUCCACAAAUCGACGAUAGUAGCCUGCCAAUCCCAGAAAACUCCGUAUUUCUGUCACACUGGUGGGUUGUACCCAAUUCACAAUAGCUUCAACUUUCUGUGGAUCCACAUAAAUCCCUUCAGUUGAAAUUACAUGCCCUAGAAAUACCACUCUGUCCAGCCAGAACUGACACUUACUAAAUUUAGCAUAAAACUGCUUCCUUCUCAAGGUUCUCAAUACCAACCUCAGAUGUUUCUUAUGCCCUUCCAGAGUCUGGGAGUACACCAAGAUAUCGUCUAUGAACACAAUCACAAAGUGAUCCAAGUAUGGUCGGAACACUCUGUUCAUGAGGUCCAUAAACGCUGCUGGAGCAUUUGUCAGCCCAAACGGCAUCACCAGAAAUUCAUAAUGUCCAUACCGUGUUCUGAACGCGGUCUUAGGAAUAUCCUCUUCCCUGAUCCUCAACUGGUGGUAUCCUGAUCUCAGAUCGAUCUUAGAAAAAUACUUAGCACCUUUCAACUGAUCAAACAAAUCAUCAAUCCGAGGCAACGGAUACCGGUUACGUACCGUCACCUUAUUCAGCUGCCGGUAAUCAAUACAUAACCUCAUGGUUCCAUCUUUCUUCCUCACAAACAACACAGGUGCACCCCACGGAGAGACACUGGGUCUGAUGAACCCAAGAUCCACUAACUCCUGUAAUUGAAUCUUCAACUCCCGAAGUUCAGCUGGUGCCAUCCUCUAGGGGGUUAGAUAAAUAGGGUUGGUGCCCGGAAGAAGUUCAAUAGUGAACUCGAUUUCCCUUUCAGGGGGUAAACCAGGGAGAUCAUCUGGAAAGACAUCAGGAAAAUCACAGACAACAGGAAUAUCUUCCAUAUUUAAGGUGAUCUCUCGAGUAUCAAUGAUAUGCGCCAAAUACCCUUCACAUCCCUUCUGGAGCAACUUCUUGGCUGUAAUAGCAGAAAUCAGACAAGUAGGGAGAACUCUACGCUCCCCACGGAAGGUAACUUUAGGUUGCCCUGGACUCCGAAACGUUACUUCCUUCCGGUAACAAUCCACUGAUGCAUGAUGUUUCUCCAGCCAAUCCAUCCCCAAAAUAAUAUCCAAAUCCACCAAAUCUAAAGGGAUUAAAUUUGCUUCCAGCCAUGCAUCAUCUACUUGGACAAAACAAUUUCUGAAUACCCGAUCUGCGUAUAAGACUUCUCCCGUAGGUAGGGAAAUACUAAAACUCCAUGUCAUAGGUGUGGGUCUAAUACUGACAUACGGUAUGAAAUUGUGUGCUACAAAGGAGUGUGUGGCCCCCGGGUCAAUUAAAACACGUGCAAGAUAACUAAAAAUCGGAAUCAUACCAGUAAUCACGUCCGGGGUAGCAUAUGCUUCCUGCUGAGACAUAGAGAACACAUGGGCCUGAGUAGUGGAGCGCCCAGGUUCACCCCUUGAUUGCCUACCACAUCUGCCUCUAGAAGAUGACGAUGCCCUACUACUGGAUGACCCUGCUGCAGAGGAAGAAACACCACCUUGAUUCUGAUUCUGACCCAAGAUACCUUGCCCCUGCUGGGCCCCAGUUCCCUGAUUUAUUGCCUCAUUCUGGAGUAUAAUUGGGCAGCUUCUCUUAGUAUGCCCCACUUGCCCACAAAAGUAGCAUGUUAAGCUACUACUCUGGCUCGGUCCACCUCCCUGAGUGUAACUGGGACAAUCCUUCGCAAUAUGCCCAACUUGCCCACAAUGAAAACAUGUCAACCCAGUGUACCUAGAAGGAGCCCUAGCUGUGCUAGCUGCAGACUGUGGUCCCGAAUACUGAGUCCAAGCCGAACGAGAACCAGAUCUCCCACUGCUAGAACUAGAUCCCCGUCCUCCUGACCAUCCUCCACUAGCCGAACUGGAACUAGAUCCUCCCCUCUUGGAUGGACCCUGACUGGGCCCACCAAUUCCUGAUGUAUCCCUACGGCGCCUACUCACAUUUCCACCAAGUUUUCUUGACACCCUUGCCGCUGCCUGAGCCAAAGCUCUCAUGUUUGGAUAAGUGUUAGCGGUAACCACUGCCUGGAUUUCCCACCAUAAACCUUCCUCAAAGCGUCUACAUCUGUCUUCCUCUGUAGCCACCAACUCUGGAGCAAAUCUGGACAACUCAUUAAAUUUGUGUUCAUAUUCCACUACUGACAUAGACCCCUGUUUCAAGUAGAGAAACUCUGACUUCUUUGCCUGUUUAUAAGAAGGUGGGUAAAAUGGAUCUGAAAAUACUCGCUGAAAUUCUUCCCAAUUUAUGGCAGCCGGAUUUUCAUAACCCCUUUUUACUGCUUUCCACCAAUGAUACGCAUUUCCCUUGAGUAGAAAGGUGGCCAAACGGACUCUAUCCUCAGCUGGGCAUUCCAGGACCUCAAAGAUUCUCUCCACAUCAGUAAUCCAUAAUUCUGCUUCUGCCGGAUCUGUACUACCCAGGAAUUCUUUAGCUCCAAGUUCCUUUACUCUCUUAAUUUCCGAACUUUCCGUACCCCGCCUUCCCCGUAAGGCUGUAGCCACUGUGCGAGUAAACUGGCUGAGCACCUGUCUCAUAUCCAAAGUAUUAUCUCCUGCAUGUGGAGAUGGUGAAGGUGAAGGUAGUGGUGGUGAAGGAGGGGGUGAUGGAGAUGGAGGUGGAGGAUUCAGGCCCCAUCUCUGCCCACGGCCUCUUGUUCUAGCUCUGCGAGCUGACAUGAUUCUACACAAAGAAAUCAUGAAAUCAUUAGAUCAACAAUGCAGCAAAAGUGCAAUAGUCGAAGGAAAAUGAACCUAAUGCUCUGAUACCAAGCUGACAAGACCCGCCCCGGAAUUUCCCGAAGACCGAAGCGGACCCCGUCUUGAUCCCGACAUCAUCCCGAUGCCGGGCCCACCUACUAAAUAAUCGAGACUUUCUACCAAAAUUUUGGCAGAGUCUCCCCUGUAAUUUAAGCAAUCCCAACAACAUUUACUCAACCUGCAACAUACACACAAAAUAAUAAUCCCAACCAGCAGCAUGCUUUCAUACAACUACAAGUCAUACUAGAGUGGCCUCCGGCCUCACAAGUAAAAUCUAUCAUGGCAAUACAGAGCAUCUACUGAAUUUAGAUUACAAGAACAGUUGAGUAGAAGAAUUUACACAGUUCCUAAUUAGAAAGAUGCACCGAUUCCGCUUCGUACACCACUUGCACUUCCAAGCGCAACUACUGGCUGGGGGGCGCAAAACAGAAAACAUGUGAGUGGACAAAAACCAGAUUUGCAGUUAAAAACAACAUAGUAACCCCACCAUGUAAAAAUAAUGUUCAAGUCAUGCAGGUUCACAAUUCAAUAAGAAAUUACUCAAAACAUGCUUCAGUAAAACUCAUCUAAAAACAUCAGUUAUCUCUUUCAAAAAGAACCCCAUUCUCUCAAACUUACCACUCCUGUCAAACUAUUAAACAAACUCUAAUUCCUUACACACUCAACCAUACAUAUUCAAAUAAAUAUACAUAUAAAUAUAUAUAUAUAAAUAACUAUAAAUAGCUAUACGAUAUACUCAUCACACCACCUAGGUACCGGGGAAAACAAUCCAACUGGGGGAUCGUUUGACUAGUCCGCAGGAUUUUCAGGUGCUAUCCUGCGUCUAGGGAUGAGCGGUCCAACCGGGGGACGAAACUCCAAAGCUCACACACCGGAACAUCUAACGCCAUGUGUAGCUCUCAAACUAUGUCCUACGCGCGCAGACUGGAUCAUCACACACCGAAACAUCCAACGCCAUGGUGAUGACCCUAAACUCUAUACACAGUCUUUCCGUACGCCGGAACAUCCAACGCCGCAUACGGAAAGUGUCUCACCCGUCGGAACAUCCAACGCCGCGAGUGAGACCAGUAACUGAGGAAGGUACUUACGUAGUGUAAUCACACAACUUCUCUCUAAUCACAUUCUUCCAUAUCACCCUCCAACAACCCAAAUAUCUCAUCUAAAAAGAAUAUAUAUCAAAAUAUACUUCCCCACAACCCAUAUAUAAAAUACACUCUCAAAACCCAAAAUGCCAAUCUCACAAUAUAUUGCCAAUUGCUAUACGACCAUCAAAAUUAACUCAUGCAUAUAAUAUAUAAAAUCCAUGAGCCAUUAAAACAUUAUGCAAAAUCUUUCAUCAAUUAAAACCAGGCAUAUGAUUAAAACAAAGUCCACUCACAAGUAUUCCCUCGCUGCCUGACCACGUGAAGGUCCUGCUUGCUGCGUGCGUGCAGUCGAAAUACCUAUUUCGAGAUACGAACCGUUAAUUAAUAUAAAAACCACGUCUAAGCGGAAAUUACAAAUUAAAUGCUUAACUCCCCAAAUUCCCCAUACGUGCUCGUUGAAGAAGGUAUCCUAAAGUCCGAUUACAGGUUUAGGAAGCGUUCGCAAUUUUCACGGUUAUCGCUAACCCGCAAACUUUGCAUUUUUGAAUCGGAACAUCCGGGGCUCCGAUUCAGAAUUCGUGAAGUCUCAUACGGUCCUAGGAAUACCUAGAACGACAUAUUUUAAUUCGGGAAAGAUCUAACGGUCGGAACCUAUCGAACCCGGAUAACGCACAAUAUGCGAAAAUUCGUUCGAUAGCCAAACGACAUCCGAAUCGAGAUCCGCGAAUUCCUAUGCGCUCGUGACAACCUAAGGAUCUCAUCGGGCUAAUUUACAUUCUCACCAGACUCGCCCACGCGCCGCCACACGCGCCGGCAGCGCGUGGGUGUGCAGAGUAAUUCCGGUGAUGGAAAAACUCCACAUCCGAGCUCACUCUUCCUACCCUAGCUUCUACUCGAGGUCAGGAUCACUUCACUCAACUACGAGAAGCUCCAAUUCGGCCGGCAACUGGCCGGAAUUUUAUUUUGAAAUUCGGCCAAAAAUCUAAAUUUCCAAUCAGUUUUCUAUACUCAAAAUCGAUCAAAACCUAUACAAUCAUCAGCGAGAACUCGAAAAAUGGAUGAGAAACCAUACCUCACCCGUCUGAAAUAGUGAUCGGAGGAGAGAGAACGGGCGACUGGAAGUUCAGACGAGAAUCGGCUUGAAAUUCGUGUUUUCCGGCGACGAGGCGGCGGCUGGCGGCUGGAGAUGGGUCGGGGAACGUCGGCGAGGUCUGGCCGGUUGUUUUGGGUCCGGUCUCGGGGCUGGCCGUGGCCUGUGGCGGCGGCCCUGCGUCUGCAAAUCGGAGGAGGAGGAAGAGGGACGCGGGAGAGAGAGAGAGAGAGAGAGAGAGAGAGAGAUAAAACUGAAAAAUCUGAUUUUUACUCUAUCCCUUUUUGAAAUAUUUACAAGUUUGCCACUGACACUAUUUUGCCCGUAACUUUUUCGUUACAACCCCGAUUCAAGCCUACCGCGUGUCUACAAAUUCGUCUCAAUACCAUUUACCUAGAAAUACCACUCGUGGUCCCAAAAUCCUUUCGAAGAAGAAAGUGACCGAUUUACCCCUAUCUCAAGGGUAAAUUCGUAAUUUUAUUUAAAUCGAUUAAAAUAAACAUUUAAUUUGGAGUCGGGGUGUUACAUGUGCUCUUUAAGCUUGAUUAAUUUGUAUUUGAAAUAACAUUUUUACCCUUUGUAUUUUAUAUGAGAGGCAGAUCAUGCCUCAGCUUUGGAUUCAUCCUAAACGGAGAGCAAGAGGUCGCAACCACCACCAACGACAACCAUGGCUAAGAAGGUCAUUGCAGAGUGCCAGAGAAAGGCCUUUUUCGGCUAAGAAGCAAUCGAUGACAGAGAAGGCAUUUUUUGGCAGCGAAGCAAUGAUGACGACCGUGGCUCGUCUUGGCGUCACGAUUGCCUGCGGUGAAGGCAUUCUUCGGUCCAUGGCGAAGCAAUCGGAGAAUCAAUGCCGAUGGAAUAGAUCUUCGUCUCCUGUGGUAAUUCAGAACCUAUGUUAAUUAUUGUGUUGUUUUUGAAUCUGAUGUGGUCUGAUUUUUAGGUUAUGCAAUUGAAUUACUUGAAAAUGGGCUUUUCUUGAGAUUUUUUUGUUUAAUUUCAGUGGUAUUGUUUUGAGAUUUGAACUGUGGCUGCUUUAUUGUGUUUUGAGUUCAUUUAUGAAUCUAUUAGAGUGGUAGCUAGGAUAGCAGAUUGAUCAUCCAAGGGCAAUGUCCACAUGUGUUUUAGCAUUUCCAAUUGCUAAAAAAUAUUUACUUCUGGUGCUUUAGAAACAUCCAACCUUUACCAUUAUAGUUGUUAUAUUUGAACAUAUAUUACCUGCUCCUGUAAUUUUUCUUGACUAUGCAUCUUUUCCGCAAAUUCAUCUGCUCCAAGCUCAGCUUCAUCACAGGCCAUCUCCUCCCCGUCAUUCCAUAGAUGAGUACUACUAACAGCAACAUACAAUACAAACAUCCGAACCUUUCUUGUUAUCCUUCCCCACCUUUUAAAGGUAAGAUUUGUUGUUUUAGCCCAAUAUCUAAGGCUAACACACAUGAGCACAAGGCUUACAAGUUACAAGACUCUAGAAUCCAAUGAACUCAAGCAUUCCUUAUGAUUGUUACUUCAAAAGGCAAUGAGAAAUAAACACUGAGCAGAAUUUUUAACUUCAAAAAUGGGCAUAAGAGGAUUUGGAGGCAGGGUAUCAUUGUGUCAGUUGUUAGUUUAUAUUGUUAUUUCAAAAAUGGGCAGAGAAGGAUUGAAAUUAUUGAGAUUAAUUUGCAUGCAUUUGAUGUCUAUCAUGUCUGUGUUUUUUGGGAAAUUAAGUUUUUGCGGUUUCAUUAUGGAGAAUGCAAUCAUUUUGUUGUGCCUUAUGUUCAGCAUUCCGAUAUAUAUUUAUAUUUGUGAUUAUUGGCUGAUUAUUGGGUGUAGUUCAAAGGAUUCUUCUGCAACUCAGGUAGGCACAGCACAAUGUCCUUCUUUGUACUUGUGGAGUUUGCUGUCUAAAUUAUUUAGUUUCCAGCAAUGCAUAUUUCAAUUUUGUUUUGUUUCUAGCUAUAUUUUCAAUUUCGUCCUGUAAACUUGAGAUCAUAGUGCGGUUCUUAGGAUAGAGAUGCUUGUUGUUUAUGACAUCAUUGUCGUAUGAUAUUUCACAAUACCAUUUAAACUUUAGUUCAGUAAAAUUUUAUACAUGUUCUGCAUUGUAGUUUUGCACAAACUACAUUGCAGUUUCGAGGAAACUGUAUUGCAGUUUCGGUAAUUACAAUUGGAUUUUUGCUCUUUCCUUGGCCUUCAACCUCAUCAAUUUGAAAAGUAGAGGCUACCCAGAUGAGGAAUUGGGUGGGCAAGAGAAGAGUAGAACUACCCAAGAGCAAGAGAACUCAAAAUUGGACUUUUGGAAACUGCAUUGCAGUUUUCAUUUAAUUACAAUUGGAUUUUUGCUCUUUCCUUGGCCUUCAACCUCACCAAUUUGAAGAGUAGAGGCUACCCAGAUGAGGAAUUAGGUGGGCAAGAGAAGAGUAGAACUACCUAAGAGUAAGGGAAUUCAAAAUUUGACUUUUGGAAACUAAUUACAAUUGUUUUUGUAGCUGUUUUCGUUUUUGUUUUUGUUUUUUUUUUUUUAACAUAAUUGAUAUCUACAUUGUAUUUUUGUUGCAAUUUCUGUUUUUAUUUGCAGUUUUUGUGUUAAUAAAGUGUUGAAAUGAUUUUUUUUUAAUUAAACCGUUGAUUGUUUGUAUAAAUAUUGUAUAACUGAAUAAAUAUUACAAAAUCAAGUUUGGUGUAGUGGUUUGUGAGUGAGCCUUCCUUCUUUGACGGUCAAGGUUCGAGUUCAUUCAAUGACACAAAAUCUUUUUUUUAAAGGUGAAUAAAGGGCAACGGAGUUGGUCCCCUGUAGACAGUGGCAGGCUGGCGACGGGAUGGUGGUGGCAGGUGGCAGGUGGCCGGCGUCGGGAGCCCGAUGGUGGUGGCUGGUGGCAGGAGUUUAGCGGUGGUGGCCAGCGGCAAGAGUCCGAUGGUGGUGGCCAACGGCCGGAGUCCAGCGGUGGUGGCCAGCUGCGGUAUUCCAACGGUGGUGGCCGGCGGUGUUAGCCGGUGGUGGCCGACGGCCGGAGUCCAGCGGUGGUGGCAGCUGCGGUAUUCCAACGGUGGUGGCCGGCGGUGUUAGCCGGCAGCGGGAUUCCGGCGAUGCAAGCCGACGGCAGGAUUCCGGCGUAAUGGUUAGCUAGAUAUAGACAUGUGGCAUGAUAUGCUUGCCUUAAAAAGAGUGGCAUUGUGUGUAAUUUUGAUAUUGUUUAGUGAUAUUUUUGUAAAAUUAGGUACUACAUUUUGGUCUUUGGCCUUAUGAUAAUUAGAUGAAAUUGUAUUCCUAUCUUCCAAAUUAGUAAAUAUACUGUGUUUUAAAACUAAAGCUCCCUAGCAAAUUAUGUGUUUGUGCAAAUAAUCUCGCGGGAGAAUAUUCGCUUCUAGAUCCUUCAACCUUCGAUAUUUCUUCUCUCUCUUCCUCGAUUCCUGUAAAAAAGAUUGGAGUAAAUAGACCACACCCGGGGGUGUUAGUCAAAGGCCCUCUGAUGCCUAAGUUAGUUCGAGUGUUUGUAGGAAAACAAUAGCUAAGCAAAGGGUACGGAGUUGUAUAUAAGGUGUAAACCGGGUGGUCGGAGCCGUGUGUGGUGGCCGAAGCCGUGUGGAGAAAAUAUGGAGAGUGGAGAGGAAGAGAGAGCUUCGGGUAUUUUUCUCGGGUAUUAGGAGUAGGUUUUCUGAAGUCCCUUGAAUGAUGAAUGAGGUCGUCUAUUUAUAGGAGCCUCGGGGCUAGGGUUUCGUAGGAAUCGAGUCGAACUUGAUAAUAUCUGAAUUAAUGAGAUUAUCUCUUUUUAAGGAGAUAAUAUCUGAAUUAAAUGAUAUUAUCUUUUCUUUAUUAGGAUAAUAUCUGUUUAAUGAUAUUAUCUCUUUAAAUAAAGAUAAUAUCAUAUUAAUUAAGAUAUUUAUUCCAAUUAAUUAAUUAGCUAGAUAAACUGGUUUAAUUAAUUAAUUUAAGAGAUAAUCUUCUUUUCCACGUGGCGUGCCCUGAUUGGAGACGAAAAUAUAUACUCCCACAUUAUGUCCACCAGUUUAUGUGAUUACCUGUCUUGGAUUGGUAAGAUGUAUUAAGUGACUUUUGUGAAUUUUAUAAAACAAGAAAAUGUGGCUCAUUUAGGCAUCAUCCCAUGGGACAUACAUAAGAUUACCCCCAAAAAAGACAAAUGUUACAAAGUAAUUUUAUUCACAAGUUUGCAUUUAAGUUGCCCUAUAUGCAAUGUUGUCCCCCCAAAAAAACAUAUAAUAUAAAAGGAGGUAUAUAUGUUGAGAAUUUGAGAGUGUUUGUGUCGCAUUGAGAAGUUGAUGGCUUUUAUAAGGAGUUGGAAUACUCUUUCGUAGCCAAUUGAUUUUAGAGUAAAACUUCAACUUUCUUCAUGAUAUCAUAGCCAGGAGCGGAGCUACAUGUAGGCCUGCCAUGGCCAGGGCCCCUCCAAACUCCAUGAAAACCCAAUUCUUUCUUAUGCAUCAACUACAAUAUUAGUUAAAAUAUAGCUCUAUAUAAUCUUGCAUUUAUGAUAGUGGCCCCCCAACAGAUUAGCUUCUAGCUCCGCCACUGAUCAUAGCAAAGACUUUUCGUAUUGAGCUGAACGGCUUGAAUUCAAUUUAAACUCUAACUUUUUCAUAUUAAUCUCAUUAAAUUUCAAUGUCUUGAAAAGGAAAAAAAAAAAAUUAUUUUAAACCUUCAGAAAGGACAAUCAAAUUCAUGCUUCCAUCCCAUGGAACAGUAAAAAUGCUUUGUCAAAGAGCCCGUACCUCUCAAUGUCUGAACGUGAGUAUAAUUAGGAAGGGUGCUGGGUAGCCCAGAGAGGGAGAGAGAGGGCCUCCUUUUUUCGACCAAGAAAAAUGUCAUAGGCAGAGGCCCAUAAUAGCCCACUAUUUUGGACUUUUAAAAUGACUUUUUAGCCCAGAGAGACAGAGCUGGUUUUUUCGACCAAGAAAAAUGUCAUUGGCAGAUGCCCAUAAUAGCUCACUAUGUUGGGUUUUUAAAAUGACCUUUUAGCUCUUGUUUGUUUACCUUUUUAUUAUUAUUAUUUUUUUUCGUAACUCUUGUUUGUUUACCUAGAAAGCUCUUUUGAGGUUCUCUGAAAUUUGGGCCUUCAUACGCUUAUUUUCCGAACCUAAAUAAAUGUUCUAUUUCGGCCUUGUCGUUCUCUUCUUUUCUUUAAUUUUGUUUUUAGGGGGUCAAAACACCUUGUUGAGGCAUACGAUAUUUGGCCAAACAAUAGAGCAUGUUCAACAGCCUCUUUAAUAAAUUUGAAAUGCUAAAAUAAGUGAGUCACAUCAUCAAAAGCCUCCUCAACAUUCUUGUCAAACUCAAUCAUCGAAGAUAUAACAUCUUUUUCUCUCUUAAGGACUUGUAAUUGACAUUGACUCUUCAAAACAUUUAUUUUUCUUUGGAAGAAUAAAACCUACUUUGAAAAUCUAAAAACAUUCAUUUUUUUAACUUUCAAACAAUAAAUAUAUAGACAUUUUUCACAUGUUUUCAUAUUUUCAUUAUUUUCCAUAAUAUUACAUUAAUUGAAUUAAAGAGUUUGUUGGGGCAUAAAAUAUUAAAGUAGCUAACAAAACUUCAAUUUGAAGAAUUUGGUUUGCUACUACAACACAUUGUAAUGGAAUUUUAGUUUGAAUUAGCAGAGCUUCGAUGACGUUCAAGCUUUCUUUAUUGUACAACUGUUGUUGGGAAAUGCAGCGACUUCAAUAACAUCCUUUUCUUAAUUAGCAUUCAGAAACCACAUUCCAAUUUAUAAUCUUCAUCCAAAGGAUUUUAGUAUUCAAAUCCCAAUCCUAUCCCGGUAUUUGGAAAACUCAAUUUCAAUGAACAAACAGUCAAUAUAAUUCUGGCAGUUCCAAUGCUUCGUCUAUUAAUUUCCACUUCUGCACUACAAUCUAAAUCUGUGCUGUGUGUAUAUAUAGCAAUGCACCCCUCCAACAAAGCCACAGAGAGAGAACCAACCUAGUAAUUUGCACUUCGGAUUAUCUUAUCUCACCAAGAAAAAAAGAAACCAGAAAAACACUUUGGAUUGCAAACAUGGGAGGAAGCAAAGGCUCUAAUAGUAAUAGCAAUAGCCAGGUUGGAAAUCAAAAUGCUGGCUGGGGUAACUCGUCCAAUGUAGCAGCAAGUGGUGGUGGCGGUGGAGGCAAUGCAGCAGGGAAUAUGAAAGCACCUGGAAGAGAUUAUGCAAUCUCCAGGGAGAGCUUCGAGAGCAACCCAGCUGCCUAUUUCAAGGAUUUGCGCAAAUAGAUAGGAAUGAAGUAACUACUUACUCACUACUACUACAUGAAUAAAGAGUAGCAGUCUACUAUAUUGCUGCUUUUAUCUAUCUUUAUGUAAUGUCCCUAUCUAUGUUAAUCAAAGUACCCUCAUCUUGGUUUUGGGAUUAAUUACCAAUUUCAUAUUAUGUUUAAGCUUUCUUUCUGCCAUUUUUUCAAAAUUCUUUUACCAUAAACUGAAAAUGUUUAUUACAACUGUAAGCAUAAGAUUUUAUUCUACCCAAAAAACAAAAACAAACAGGAAAACUUUGGGCUCAGCAAAAUACUGCAAAACUAAAGAGAACAAUCGCUUCGUAAACUUGAAAGGAUAAUUGACAAGUAAGCUCCUUGUCUGUCUUGUCUCAAAGUGCAACAUUCAUAGGCACAACAUGGGUUAUGUCCACUUUAUGCACCAAGUACAAGAAUCACGGGCAACUGAUCUGAUCUUCGCAGUUCAAAGUGGUUGUAGCCUUACCUGCACUCCAUGUUGUGGACGAACUGUAAGAAGAUGUAAGGGCGAGUGGACAUAACCCGGGGAAAGGGUGAAGGUGUAACGUUGUAGAAUCAUCGACAAAGCAAUCUUCACUUCUGUUAUCGCAAAGUUUAAGCCCACACAAGUUCGAGGUCCCAUUGAAAAGGGUAUGAAUGCGCCUACAUGAUUGUUGGUUGCUUUGGCAACCCCUUCCGAGAAUCUCUCUGGUUUGAAAAGUUGCACAUCUUCUCCCCAGAUUUGAGGAUCAUGGUGAAGUGCUACGAUUGAGACAUCCAAUU